RNAcentral lists this small RNA (90 nucleotides) under Epilithonimonas pallida. RNAcentral's name for it is "Flavo-1 RNA". It matches the Rfam family "Flavo-1 RNA". The record is from RNAcentral. Lineage: Bacteria; Pseudomonadati; Bacteroidota; Flavobacteriia; Flavobacteriales; Weeksellaceae.
CCGCAGCAGGGAUAGUAGCGGAUAUCCUUUUUUGGACACGGAGCGAAGCGGAGUGUCCGAAAAAGAUAGGAGUGGAUAGCCCGGCCGGCA